Molecule: ribosomal RNA, 310 nt
Filed under: uncultured bacterium
Lineage: Bacteria
Description: bacterial SSU rRNA
Rfam family: Bacterial small subunit ribosomal RNA
Source: RNAcentral
GAAUAAGGAUCGGCUAACUCCGUGCCAGCAGCCGCGGUAAUACGGAGGAUCCAAGCGUUAUCCGGAAUCAUUGGGUUUAAAGGGUCCGUAGGUGGAUUAGUAAGUCAGAGGUGAAAUCCUGCAGCUCAACUGUAGAACUGCCUUUGAUACUGCUAGUCUUGAGUCAUUAUGAAGUGGUUAGAAUGUGUAGUGUAGCGGUGAAAUGCAUAGAUAUUACACAGAAUACCGAUUGCGAAGGCAGAUCACUAAUAAUGUACUGACACUGAUGGACGAAAGCGUGGGGAGCGAACAGGAUUAGAUACCCUGGUAG